CAGUAGCCACGGGAAAACCAGCACCUCGAGUGGUCAGGAGGUUUAUUGGGCCUAAAGCAUCCGUAGCCGGUUGCAUAAGUUUUCGGUUAAAUCUAUGCGCUUAACGUAUAGGCCGCCGAAAAUACUGUGCAGCUAGGGAGUGGGAGAGGUACACGGUACUCGAUAGGAAGGGGUAAAAUCCUUUGAUCUAUUGAUGACCACCUGUGGCGAAGGCGGUGUACCAGAACACGUUCGACGGUGAGGGAUGAAAGCUGGGGGAGCAAACCGGAUUAGAUACCCCAGUAGUCCCUGUCUCUUAUAC
This 301-nucleotide ribosomal RNA is filed under the name uncultured bacterium. RNAcentral describes it as "partial 16S ribosomal RNA". It matches the Rfam family "Archaeal small subunit ribosomal RNA", at positions 459 to 760 of the family's 1478-position model. The record is from RNAcentral.